AGAAUGAACGCUAGCGAUAUGCUUAACACAUGCAAGUUGAACGUUGUUUUCGAAUCAGAAUGAGAACAAAGUAGCGAACGGGUGCGUAACACGUGGGAAUCUGCCGAACAGUUUGGGCCAAAUCCCGAAUGAAUAAAAGCUAAAAAGCGCUGUUUGAUGAGCCCACGUAGUAUUAGGUAGUUGGUUAGGUAAAAGCUGACCAAGCCUACGAUGCUUAGCUGGUCUUUUCGGAUGAUCAGCCACACUGGGACUGAGACACGGCCCAGACUCCUACGGGAGGCAGCAGUGGGGAAUCUUGGACAAUGGGCGAAAGCCUGAUCCGGCAAUAUGGCGUGAGUGAAGAAGGGCAACGCAGCUUGUAAAGCUCUUUCAUCGAGUGUGCGAUUGUGACAAGACUCGAAUAACGAAGCCCCGGCUAACUCCGUGCCAGCAGUCGC
RNAcentral lists this ribosomal RNA (437 nucleotides) under uncultured bacterium. Its description in RNAcentral is "SSU rRNA". It matches the Rfam family "Bacterial small subunit ribosomal RNA", at positions 26 to 518 of the family's 1533-position model. The record is from RNAcentral.